GGGCUCACACAAGCGGUGGAGCAUGUGGAUUAAUUCGAAGCAACGCGCAGAACCUUACCUGGGUUUGACAUGCUUGGAUGGCUGCCGGGAAACCGGUUCGUCUGCCCUUCGGGGUGAAACUUGCACAGGUGCUGCAUGGCUGUCGUCAGCUCGUGUCGUGAGAUGUCGGGUUAAGUCCUUUAACGAGCGAAACCCUUACCGUUAGUUGCCAUCAGGUUAUGCUGGGAACUCUAACGGGACUGCCGGUGUUAAACCGGAGGAAGGUGGGGAUGACGUCAGGUCCUCAUGGCCUUUAUGCCCAGGGCUUCACACGUGCUACAAUGGCGACUACAGAGCGACGCAAGACCGCGAGGUAGAGCAAAUCGCAAAAAAGUCGCCCCAGUUCAGAUUGCAGGCUGGCAACUCGCCUGCAUGAAGGUGGAAUCGCUAGUAAUCGCGUAUCAGCGAUGACGCGGUGAAUGUGUUCCUGAGCCUU
Molecule: ribosomal RNA, 475 nt
Filed under: uncultured bacterium
Lineage: Bacteria
Description: bacterial SSU rRNA
Rfam family: Bacterial small subunit ribosomal RNA
Source: RNAcentral